Molecule: unclassified non-coding RNA, 296 nt
Filed under: rhizosphere metagenome
Description: partial ribosomal RNA internal transcribed spacer region
Source: RNAcentral
GUAGGUGAACCUGCGGAAGGAUCAUUACUAGAGCAAAGGACAGGCAGCGCCCCACAGAAGCUUGCUUCGUGGCGGGGCUACCCUACUUCGGUAGGGUUUAGAGCCGUCGACCCUCUCGGAGAAGGUCGGUCCUGAACUCCACCCUUGAAUAAACUACCUUUGUUGCUUUGGCGGGCCGCCUCGCGCCAGCGGCUUCGGCUGUUGAGUGCCCGCCAGAGGACCACAACUCUUGUUUUUAGUGAUGUCUGAGUACUAUAUAAUAGUUAAAACUUUCAACAACGGAUCUCUUGGUUCUG